CAAUGAAUGCUACUUAUCUUGUGUGUAAAAUCACAUUACUGUCUAUUUUGACUCUUAGCACCAAUGGACUAGCAGAUAAGAUAGCUGAAUACUGGAUGUUUGAUCAAGGUACAAAUACUGUUGAAUGGAUUAGCUGCAUGGGAAUUUUCCUGUUCUCCUUAUAUAUAAGUGAAUACAAGACAGUUUCCCAUUAGACCUUCUCAAAGGCAUCCCUUUUGCUUGAACUAACUCCAGAUUUACGAUUAAACUGGUUAGAUGAUAUUCCCUAUUUCCACUUUGGGCG
This is a long non-coding RNA of Stegodyphus dumicola, 283 nucleotides long. The record is from RefSeq and is a predicted model, not a curated record. NCBI's taxonomy places the organism in Eukaryota, Metazoa, Arthropoda, Arachnida, Araneae, Eresidae.